GAUACUGUGCAACUCAGUUUAAUUUGAUUAUUUAAUAUUUUACUUAUUUUUUUUGUUUAUUUUAUUAUU
Molecule: transfer RNA, 69 nt
Filed under: Paracercion calamorum
Lineage: Eukaryota; Metazoa; Arthropoda; Insecta; Odonata; Coenagrionidae
Description: tRNA-Leu
Source: RNAcentral